GCCAGACUCCUACGGGAGGCAGCAGUGGGGAAUAUUGCACAAUGGGGGAAACCCUGAUGCAGCGACGCCGCGUGAGUGAAGAAGUAUUUCGGUAUGUAAAGCUCUAUCAGCAGGGAAGAAAUAGCGACCUUUGGGUCGCCAGACGGUACCUGAUUAAGAAGCCCCGGCUAACUACGUGCCAGCAGCCGCGGUAAUACGUAGGGGGCAAGCGUUAUCCGGAUUUACUGGGUGUAAAGGGAGCGUAGACGGCAGCGCAAGUCUGAAGUGAAAUGCCGGGGCUUAACCCCGGAACUGCUUUGGAAACUGUAUUUCUAGAGUGUCGGAGAGGCAAGUGGAAUUCCUGGUGUAGCGGUGAAAUGCGUAGAUAUCAGGAGGAACACCAGUGGCGAAGGCGGCUUGCUGGACGAUGACUGACGUUGAGGCUCGAAAGCGUGGGGAGCAAACAGGAUUAGAUACCCUCGUAC
RNAcentral lists this ribosomal RNA (464 nucleotides) under uncultured bacterium. Its description in RNAcentral is "bacterial SSU rRNA". It matches the Rfam family "Bacterial small subunit ribosomal RNA", at positions 330 to 793 of the family's 1533-position model. The record is from RNAcentral.